GAUGAACGCUGGCGGCGUGCCUAAUACAUGCAAGUCGAGCGAACGGACGAGAAGCUUGCUUCUCUGAUGUUAGCGGCGGACGGGAGAGUAACACGUGUAUAACCCACCUAUCAGACUGGGAUAUCUUCGGGACACCGUAUCUAAUAGCGGAUAAUAUUUUGAACCGCAUUGUUCAAAAGUGAAAGACGGCCUUGCUGUCUCUUCUAGCUGGAUACGGGCUGCAUUAGCUGGUUGUUAAGGUCACGGCUUACCAAGGCAACGAUGCGUAGCCGACCUGAUAGGGUGAUCGGCCGCCCUGGAACUGGGCCACGGUCCAGACGACUACGGGAGGCAGCAGUCGGGAAUGUUCCGCAAUAGUCGAGAGCCUGACGGAGCGGGGGCGCGUGAGUUAUGAAGGCCCUGCGAUCGUGAAACUCUGUUACUAGGGGAGAACAUCUGUGUCAGUAACUGUGCCCAUCUUGACGGUAACUGAUCAGAAAGCCACGGCUAACUACGUG
This 497-nucleotide ribosomal RNA is filed under the name uncultured bacterium. Its description in RNAcentral is "partial 16S ribosomal RNA". It matches the Rfam family "Bacterial small subunit ribosomal RNA", at positions 28 to 507 of the family's 1533-position model. The record is from RNAcentral.